GCUCUUGUGGCGGAAUUGGUAGACGCGCUAGUCUUAGAAACUAGUACCUUUAAAGUGUGUGGGUUCAAUUCCCACUGAGAGCA
This 83-nucleotide transfer RNA is filed under the name Avrainvillea mazei. Its description in RNAcentral is "tRNA-Leu". It matches the Rfam family "tRNA". Rfam says of the family: Transfer RNA (tRNA) molecules are approximately 80 nucleotides in length. Lineage: Eukaryota; Viridiplantae; Chlorophyta; Ulvophyceae; Bryopsidales; Dichotomosiphonaceae. The record is from RNAcentral.